GAAGAGGAACUCUAACUUCGCGCAUCAACUUCAUCCUCUAUGUCAGCCUCACCUUUAGCCCUUUCUUCUUCAACUGCGUGCACCUCCUCACCUUGAACUUGACAAUCAAAAUCAGCCAUAUCUUUUGACACAACACCAACUUGUUCAACUCUAUGCACAUCACCAUCAACAUUUGCCCUCUCUUCUGGCUUAACAUCAGCUUCUUCAACUCCAUGCACCUUUUCCUCUAUGAUAGCCUUACUUUGCACUUCUCCAUCAUAAUCACCCAUCUUUUCAAGUUCAGUCUGACAUUCACAUUCACCAUCACCUUUACCUACACACACAUUCGUCUCAUUCAACAAAUGUUCAACUUGUCCUUCAUCAUCAAGAACAUAUUCC
Molecule: long non-coding RNA, 378 nt
Filed under: Vigna radiata
Lineage: Eukaryota; Viridiplantae; Streptophyta; Magnoliopsida; Fabales; Fabaceae
Description: long non-coding RNA (VRAD_LNC010302)
Source: RNAcentral